GCGAACGCUGGCGGCAGGCCUAACCCCUGCAAGUCGAACGAACUCUUCGGAGUUAGUGGCGGACGGGUGAGUAACACGUGGGAACGUGCCUUUAGGUUCGGAAUAACUCAGGGAAACUUGUGCUAAUACCGAAUGUGCCCUUCGGGGGAAAGAUUUAUCGCCUUUAGAGCGGCCCGCGUCUGAUUAGCUAGUUGGUGAGGUAAAGGCUCACCAAGGCGACGAUCAGUAGCUGGUCUGAGAGGAUGAUCAGCCACAUUGGGACUGAGACACGGCCCAAACUCCUACGGGAGGCAGCAGUGGGGAAUCUUGCGCAAUGGGCGAAAGCCUGACGCAGCCAUGCCGCGUGAAUGAUGAAGGUCUUAGGAUUGUAAAAUUCUUUCACCGGGGACGAUAAUGACGGUACCCGGAGAAGAAGCCCCGGCUAACUUCGUG
RNAcentral lists this ribosomal RNA (432 nucleotides) under uncultured bacterium. RNAcentral's name for it is "partial 16S ribosomal RNA". It matches the Rfam family "Bacterial small subunit ribosomal RNA", at positions 29 to 507 of the family's 1533-position model. The record is from RNAcentral.